CUUUCUUUUUUCUUCUCUGGUCAGAACUGCUCCUCUUCCAUUCUCCACCGAUAAUUCUCUCAAAACUCUUCUCGUUAGAACCAAGAAGAAGAGGUGAAUAAAGUAAAAUGAUGAAGAGAAAGCUCAAUUAUGCACUUCCGUAGAUGCUAUCAUGAGUUGAGAGUUUCAACGAAAUGUAAAGGAGAUUCUAUUAUAUUGGUUGUGUUGUUUCUUCUAAGGUUAAUUGAAGUGGACCGUGAUGAAGCUUGAAGCAUUGGUGAUGGUAAUUCUGCUAGAAGCUUUAAGAUUUAUUUACGCCACUCAAAAUGGGUUCGAAUCGAACAGCAAGAGGUAACAUGUUUAGAUUUGAUUGUUUAAUCUAAGAUAUAUAAUUUUGUCAACAUACACAGUGAAAGCAGAUUUUUCCUUUCUUUCAAGCACAUUCAUAAAUAGCUAAAUGUGAAAAAUCUUCUUCAUGUAGUUCAUUUUUUUCUUUUCUUUCACAUUUUCUGAAUUCGUUGUCUCACGCUUUGCCAGUCAAUUUCUUGAUAUUCAAGGCAUACAUGGCAUAGAAGAUUAUUAACCAUGUGGCUGAAAUUGUUGGAGACAAAUAAAAUGCCUAAAUGGCAAUUUGUUUGGAUAGAGUAUGCAAUCAUAGUGGUUUGUUUUAAUAAGUUCUCAUUUGAUGGGAUUAUCAUGGGAUGUAGGAUAAUGCUCGACUGCCAUCAGCAGAUUCUGAUAAUAAUUUUGCUUUGAUGAAAAUCUAAAUUCUUUUCCCUUUCC
Coffea arabica (coffee) is the source of this 762-nucleotide long non-coding RNA. RefSeq lists it as uncharacterized. The record is from RefSeq and is a predicted model, not a curated record. Lineage: Eukaryota; Viridiplantae; Streptophyta; Magnoliopsida; Gentianales; Rubiaceae.